Molecule: transfer RNA, 56 nt
Filed under: Raillietina tetragona
Lineage: Eukaryota; Metazoa; Platyhelminthes; Cestoda; Cyclophyllidea; Davaineidae
Description: tRNA-Trp
Source: RNAcentral
AUAAGAUUAAGUUAGUGUUAAGACUAGUUGUUUUCAAAACAACAAGGGGGAUUAGA